AAAAUACUGAACAUAUCAUUAUAUAAGACAAUAUGGUUUACACUCAAGACUGUAACACAAUGCACUUCAAGAUUAUAAUUUUCGUCAUAGGUACCUGCUUAUUGAGUGAAAGUGUAAUGAGCAAAACGGGAAGAAUUCAAGGUAAGCUUCGAUAUGUUUUAUGAUUACAUACUAUGUUUAUCGGGUUUCGUAUACAUAUAAAAACAAAUAUAAAAAUAUUGCGAAAAAGGACCAUUUAUUUAUAAUAUAACUAAUCGCCGUAUUUGAAUAUCAAAAAAUAAGACAACGCGCGACCGAACGACGCAUGGAUUGAACGAGUGCGCAGCACGAGUUUAAUCCAUAGCGGCGUUCGGUUACAAGUUGUCUUAUUUUUGAUAUUCAAAUACGGCGAUUAGUUAUAUUUUUAUUACAUUGUCAAUGGCUUUUUUAUGAAAUUAUGUAGAAAAUGUAAGGGACUAUAAAUUUUUCUACGCAUUUAAUUUGUUUUGAUCCGACGUUAUCGACGUCUUGAACAGCCUAUUGUUGUUGACGUCAGAGAGUGAAAAUAACCACGUUUAUUUCACAUGUGAAAUUAUCGGUUUUUAUUUAACUGGGAAAUCCAUGUAAUUUAUUGCAACCAAUGUAAUAAAAUUCAUUAUCAAUUAAUCAAUAUGCAUGUGCAUGUGUUUUACUGCACAUACCCUGACCAACAACAAAUAAACAUAGAUACACGACAUCACCAGCUCGUAACCUUCGUAUUUCUUUAAAACAAAAGAUAACCAGACAUCUUACAGUUGGGAACAUGCAAAGGAACAUGCGGGUAAUACAUGCAAGGUUUAUAAGCACGAGCUUCAACAAGAUAAAAAUAUAAUUGAUCACGAGAGAGAUACAUACUUAAACAUAUGCAGUUACAUCAAAAAGAUUUGAUACAUCAUCAAUGAACUAGUAUACCUCUUUGUUUAGGGGGCAACUGAAAAAUGCAUCCAGGUGCGGGAGUUUCUUGCUGCAUUGGAGACCAAUUGGUGACCUUCGGCUCUUUGGUCGGGUUGUUGUCUCUUUGAAACAUUCCCCAUUUCCAUUUCCAUUUCCAUUCUCAACUUUAUUAUAUGUUUUUUAAUUAGUAUGAAAGGUACCAGGAUAAAAAAAUUAUACGCCAGACGCACGUUUCGUCUACAUGAGACUCAUUAGUGACGAUCAGAUCAAAAUGGUUUUAAAGUCAAACAAGUACAAGGUUUAAAAGCAUUGAGGACCCAACAUUUCAAAAAGUCGUGCCAAAUAUGGCUAAGGUGAUAUAUGCCUGGGAUAAGAAAAUCCUUAGUUUUUUUCGAAAAACUCUUUUUGAAAUGUCAUUUGACUGCUUGAGUAUCAACUCUCAUUUCAAUGUUUUGUUUUACAAAAAUGUUUAACCUUUUGAUAUAUCUUUGUAAAUUGAUUUACUUUGUGUUGACCUUAUUCCUCAACAUAACUCUUUUCUAAUGUUAAUGAUGGGGAAAAACAUACUAGUUCUUGUUACUAGUUACUGGUAAAAUCAGGAGUCGUGAUUGAUAUAUUACACGUUUUAUUCGUGCUCCGUUUUCCUUUUCCAUGUUUACAAGAGGAAAUGAUAGGUGUUGAUUCACUUAUAAAUGGUGUCUUCAAAACAGUCGAAAAUAUAAACACAACAUGGUUUUAAUUUCUGAAAAGUAUCUGAAUUUUAAAAGAAGUAAUUACUUUCUGGUUGAACACACGUCAGGUUAUGGGUUUCCCAGAGAAUAUACCACGGUACACACAAUCAAAAUCUAUAGUGUUCCGUGUAUCAGAAGCAGACCUUGGUUACCCGGGCCGGUUUUGUUCUUUGCAUUAUUUGUAUUCACAAAAUAAAAAAAGUUAAUGAUACCCUCCGAGAAUAACCCACCAGCAGUAAAGUUUCUUCCAGGAAGAAAUUUGACAUUGACUUGAUUGUACCUGUAGUAAGAAGUAAAGUCAUAUAAUUACUGAAGUCCGGAACUUGAAAACGGAAAGUCUCUAAUCAAACGACAAAAUCAAAACUAAAACACAUCAAACGAAUGGAUAACAAGUGUUAUAUUUUUGACUUGGUAAAAGGCGUUUUCCUAUGUAGAAAAUUGUGGAUCAAACCUGGUUUUAAAGCUAGCUGAAACUCUCACUUUUAUGGCAGUCGAAUCAAAUUCCAUUAUAUUGACAGCGAAGUGUGAACAAACCACACAGACAUAAUAGGUAAAAAUAUCAAAAAUAGGGGUACAGCAGUCAACAUUGUGUUAUGAUCUUAAUCACUAUCAACAAAAUUUUGAAUGGACAGUCAACUAUUGCACUAUGCAUACACGGUUUUUGUUUUCAAUUGAACGAAAAGAAGUAUCAGAAAUAUAAAUAACAAAUAAGUUUUUUUUCUUUUUUUUCAGAGGAUAAUAAUGAAUUUCCACAUAUACAAGUCUUUAAUUUUGGAAACAUCGCAGCGGACACAUUGUGUUCUUUUUGUAAAAGAAAACGUUCAAAUUGUAUUAAAUUUUGUAAUGGUGGAGC
This 2496-nucleotide long non-coding RNA is filed under the name Mytilus galloprovincialis (Mediterranean mussel). Lineage: Eukaryota; Metazoa; Mollusca; Bivalvia; Mytilida; Mytilidae. The record is from RNAcentral.